This 329-nucleotide unclassified non-coding RNA is filed under the name soil metagenome. RNAcentral's name for it is "partial contains 5.8S ribosomal RNA, internal transcribed spacer 2, and large subunit ribosomal RNA". The stretch from base 1 to 120 matches the Rfam family "5.8S ribosomal RNA", at positions 35 to 154 of the family's 154-position model. The record is from RNAcentral.
GAUGAAGAACGCAGCGAAAUGCGAUAAGUAAUGUGAAUUGCAGAAUUCAGUGAAUCAUCGAAUCUUUGAACGCACAUUGCGCCCCCUGGUAUUCCGGGGGGCAUGCCUGUCCGAGCGUCAUUACAACCCUCAAGCUCAGCUUGGUAUUGGGCCCCGCCGACCCGGCGGGCCCUAAAGUCAGUGGCGGUGCCGUCCGGCUCCGAGCGUAGUAAUUCUUCUCGCUCUGGAGGUCCGGUCGUGUGCUCGCCAGCAACCCCCCAUUUUUUUCAGGUUGACCUCGGAUCAGGUAGGGAUACCCGCUGAACUUAAGCAUAUCAAUAAGCGGAGGA